AAUAAACGCCCCCUUCAAGAUACGAAAAUUUAAUCAACGCCCAGGGCGUUCAUUGGAUCAUUUACGGUACUUUGUGCCAUGAGAGUUGAUCAUCAUAUUUAUAAUUUCAUGUCCUGUAGAUACUAAAUAUGCGCACAAAAGAAAAUAAAUAACAUUGACUGAAACCUGAUCAUAAAACACCGGCCCUGAGUUCUAACCCUUCAAUGAUGGUUACGGUUCGGGGUUGUUUAAUGCUCAGGCUUCAGUCAAUGUUAUUUAUUUCCCUUUCAUUUGCAUAUUUAGUAUCUACACGACAUGAAAUUAUAACCAUCAUCAAUGACCUGCACUUGGGUUAACUCGCUGAUCUCAAACCUAGCGCUGGAUAGUGCAUCCGCUAUGCAGAAAUGAAGACAAUGUCGGCCAUAUUGAUGUGAGCAACACAAAUCUACUGUGGUGUUGAUGACAUAGUGUAAGAGGUUCUUACAGUUUCUAGUUAUCGCUGAGAAAGGAUAAACAUUGUCUGAAUAGAAAUUUAUCAACAGUCGUCUCUCGUCCCCUUAAAUUUGCUCGUGAAUAACUGAUGUCACACCAAGAUGGCUGCUACAAGUCUCAUUAUCUAGUGUUUAAAACGUUCUAAAACUCAUUAGAAGAAAUAUGGAAAGCUAUAUUUUUUAAGUUACAUAGGAAAAGACAUUUGCUUCAUAAUGUAGCUAAUUUAAACACGUCGUGAUCCGAUUUGCAGAGAUUUUGACAGACUUUAAGAUCUCAUCUGAUUAUAAAUAUUCUGACUUCAAAAUUGGUUUAUUGAAUACAAAAGGAAACUCUAUUCAGUGUUUUGAGAUCAGUGGGUUAACUUUACUGUGAAGCGUAUUGUGUUUCCACUUUAUAUAUAACUUGUAUAAUUUCUAUGUAAAUGUUGUAUAUAUAAAUUACUUUUCCUAGAAUUAAACACAGAUUUGCAUCAAUUUAAUCAUGUAAAAGUUUUAGAUAUAACCUAUAUAAUCUCUGUGUAAAUAUUGAACAUGUAGUUUCGUUGAAAAAAACCUAAGCGUGCUAAUAUACCUUUUGUUGAACAAAAACAUUUUAAUCUGAACAUUGACAUUAGUAAGAAGUAGAACAUUGAAUUGAUUUGAAAUAAGUAUAUAUAAAUGUAUAGUCAUAAUAAAAGUUUUGGUUUUCA
This is a non-coding RNA of Paramuricea clavata, 1159 nucleotides long. NCBI's taxonomy places the organism in Eukaryota, Metazoa, Cnidaria, Anthozoa, Malacalcyonacea, Plexauridae. The record is from the annotation of a GenBank genome assembly.